ACUGGCAAAUGUGAGGGUUCCUUGUAUCGCAGUCCAACCCCAGCUCAUUUCUUAGUUAGGUUUGUUUUUAGGAUGGUCGAGCUCAAAGCAGAACUAAGGGAUCUGCCGUUUUGUACACGGCCGAGGCGCGCGGCUCCCUGGGCCUGGAACGGGCUCUGAGCGCGCCGGUCCCUUCCAGGUUGCGCGGGCUCCGGACGAGACCCAGCCCAGCAGGGCAGCCCCGCGCGCUCCCGGGUCCCGCCGGCCUCGCGCCGCCCGGUUGCCGUGGGAACCACGGAGCCUCGGAGCGCCCGCAGACUAGCCUGUGUCUGAGGGGGUGAGGGAUACUGAGGCCCAGGCAUGGAGCUGCCGGAUCCGGUGCGCCAGCGGCUGGGAAACUUCAGCCGGGCCGUGUUCAGUGAUUCCAAUCGGACCGGUCCAGAGUCCAAUGAGGGUCCGGAAAAUGAAAUGGUCUCCAGUUUGGCACUGCAGAUGUCACUUUAUUUUAAUACCUACUAUUUCCCACUGUGGUGGGUGAGCAGCAUUAUGAUGCUUCACAUGAAGUAUUCAAUCUUGCCUGACUACUACAAAUUCAUUGUGAUCACUGUUAUCAUCCUAAUAACCUUAAUUGAAGCCAUCCGGUUGUAUCUGGGCUACGUGGGUAACCUACAGGAGAAGGUAAGCUCUUUUUUCCUUUCUCUCAGUGAUAGAUAUAAAUGAAAUCAGUUUUCAUAACAAGUAAAAGGCAGUGAGGUGUGGCAGAAAGAGCACAGGUCUGAAUUUAAAGCCUGACUCCAGCUUUACCACUUCUGUCACUGUGGUCUGUUUGCUUAAUCUCUUGAGCCCUGGUUUCCUCAUAUAUAAAAUGAGGAAAAUAAUAUUUACUUCACAGGUUUGUUGUGAUUAAGUGAAAUGAUUUAUGUAAAGUAUAUGAAUGUAGUAAACACUUAAAAUUGAUAUUUUCCCUCUUCUUAUCAGUCUUAAAAAUACAUGGUUACUUAAACAUGUGUAUUUGGAUCCUGAAUAAGAAAAUGGGGGAAAAUUAUGAAUUCAUUUCCUAUGCCAGGCCCAUGUUUUCUGCAUCAUCAUGCUGCCUAAGCAUUUGUGGUUACCAGAGUAUAGGGAUAAUGCCUAAAGAUUCCUGUGGUUUUCUAGGCCCUUCAUAAUAAGGCCCCACACCCAGCCUGUCUUACUGUAGGUUUUGCUGUUUUCUCACUCAGCCAUCCAUUCCAGGCUGAUGUGCUGAUUCCCAAUCAUGCUAAUUUCACGUGUUUGCUUACUUACCUUUUUGCCUCUUCCUUCUUCUCCACAACUUAAAAAGCCUACCUCCCUGAGGUCUUUCUUUCACCUACCCUAAUCACUCCCUUAUUUCUUGUAGCAUUUAGUCUGUACUUCUAAAUAUUGCACUUAAUUGUUCACUAAAGUGUAGUAUUCUAGGAUUGUUUUACAUAAAUUAGUUUUCUCAUCUAGACUGUAAGUUCUCUGAGGACAAGGACCAUGUCAUCCUCCUUCGGAAUCACUCACAGAGCCCAUAAUGUAGGUUCACGGUAGUGAUAAGUACUUGUUUAUCUGUAUAAACAGAAACUGUAUUUUACUGAUUUUUAUUACUCUUGAUAUGUGUCAUUGCAGGUUCCUGAGUUGGCUGGCUUUUGGCUUUUGAGCCUUCUAUUGCAGUUACCUUUAAUUCUUUUCUUGCUCUUUAAUGAAGGCCUAACAAAUCUGCCCUUGGAAAAAGCGAUACAUAUCAUCUUCACUCUCUUCCUUGCUUUCCAAGUUGUUGCAGCAUUUCUUACCUUAAGGAAAAUGGUUAAUCAGUUGGCAGUUCGUUUCCACCUCCAAGACUUUGACCGGCUCUCUGCAAAGAGAGGAGACAUGAGAAGGAUGAGGUCAUGUAUAGAAGAGAUCUGAUCCAGUGUUGUUGAGUGAAAAUCUGACAGAUCAUUCUAGAGACUGUAAGAGUUAGGAAAAUAUCAGAGCUCUGAGAAAAGGGACAAAGCAAGUGUUUUGAAUUGUAUAUGCUCUCACUCUGAAAUUCCAAGGUUGGGGGCAAUGAUGAAACUUUGUACAGUAUAUGAAACAGUAUAUUAACCCUAAAACCUAGAUGUUGUCCACCUGAUGCCAAAUUUCUUAAUUUUUUUUGAUGUUGUUGUCUUUUUCAGGAGUGUAGAAAUCUAUGUAUUGGUGGUUGUCAUUUGCCAGCUCUCUUGUAGCAUUUCUGGUUAGAAUCUGUAACUAGAGAUGUAUACAUUUCUUUAAAACUUGUUGGUUAUCCAUGUCUUGUCUGUACAUAUGACCAUGUUUCUUGACAUGGAAAUACCAGUCAGUGUUCCUAUGUAUUUGUCUAUAUUUAUAAACCAAGAGACCGGCUGGGUGUGGUGGCUCACGCCUGUAAUCCCAGCACUUUGGGAGGCCGAGGUGGGCAGAUCAUGAGGUCAGAAGAUCGAGACCAUCCUGGCUAACAUGGUGAAACCCAGCCUCUACU
RNAcentral lists this small RNA (2461 nucleotides) under Pan troglodytes (chimpanzee). Its description in RNAcentral is "retained intron". Lineage: Eukaryota; Metazoa; Chordata; Mammalia; Primates; Hominidae. The record is from RNAcentral.